Molecule: ribosomal RNA, 274 nt
Filed under: uncultured bacterium
Lineage: Bacteria
Description: partial 16S ribosomal RNA
Rfam family: Bacterial small subunit ribosomal RNA
Source: RNAcentral
AUACGUAGGGUGCGAGCGUUGUUCGGAAUUAUUGGGCGUAAAGCGCACGUAGGCGGCCAGGUCCGUCCGAUGUGAAAGCCCCGGGCUCAACCUGGGAAUUGCAUUCGAUACUGCUUGACUAGAGUAUGGUAGAGGGAAGUGGAAUUUCCGGUGUAGCGGUGAAAUGCGUAGAUAUCGGAAGGAACACCAGUGGCGAAGGCGGCUUCCUGGGCCAAUACUGACGCUGAGGUGCGAAAGCGUGGGGAGCAAACAGGAUUAGAAACCCCAGUAGUCC